This 313-nucleotide ribosomal RNA is filed under the name uncultured eukaryote. RNAcentral describes it as "partial 18S ribosomal RNA". It matches the Rfam family "Eukaryotic small subunit ribosomal RNA", at positions 1470 to 1796 of the family's 1831-position model. The record is from RNAcentral.
CCCUUAGAUGUUCUGGGCCGCACGCGCGCUACACUGAUUUGUCCAACAAGUUCUUCCUUGACCGAGAGGUCUGGGUAAUCUUGCAAUCCAAAUCGUGAUGGGGAUUGGUCCUUGUAACUCUUGACCAUGAACGAGGAAUUCCUAGUAAACGCGAGUCAUCAACUCGCAUUGAUUACGUCCCUGCCCUUUGUACACACCGCCCGUCGCACCUACCGAUUGAAUGGUCCGGUGAAGCCUCCGGAUUGGCGCGCACCUCGGUGCCGCCGAGAAGUUGGCUAAACCUUACCAUUUAGAGGAAGGUGAAGUCGUAACA